GACGAACGCUGGCGGCGUGCCUAAUACAUGCAAGUAGAACGCUGAAGGAGGAGCUUGCUUCUCUGGAUGAGUUGCGAACGGGUGAGUAACGCGUAGGUAACCUGCCUGGUAGCGGGGGAUAACUAUUGGAAACGAUAGCUAAUACCGCAUAACAGUAGAUAUCGCAUGAUAUCUACUUGAAAGGUGCAAUUGCAUCACUACCAGAUGGACCUGCGUUGUAUUAGCUAUUUGGUGAGGUAACGGCUCACCAAGGCGACGAUACAUAGCCGACCUGAGAGGGUGAUCGGCCACACUGGGACUGAGACACGGCCCAGACUCCUACGGGAGGCAGCAGUAGGGAAUCUUCGGCAAUGGACGGAAGUCUGACCGAGCAACGCCGCGUGAGUGAAGAAGGUUUUCGGAUCGUAAAGCUCUGUUGUAAGAGAAGAACGAGUGUGAGAGUGGAAAGUUCACACUGUGACGGUAUCUUACCAGAAAGGGACGGCUAACUACGUG
This 495-nucleotide ribosomal RNA is filed under the name uncultured bacterium. RNAcentral's name for it is "partial 16S ribosomal RNA". It matches the Rfam family "Bacterial small subunit ribosomal RNA", at positions 28 to 507 of the family's 1533-position model. The record is from RNAcentral.